CUCCAGUUUGCCUAGUGGUAAGGCUAAGGAUCGCCAAUCCGGAGACGGCGGGUUCGAUUCCCGUUCUGGUCG
Aedes albopictus (Asian tiger mosquito) is the source of this 72-nucleotide non-coding RNA. The record is from Rfam. Lineage: Eukaryota; Metazoa; Arthropoda; Insecta; Diptera; Culicidae.